RNAcentral lists this ribosomal RNA (400 nucleotides) under uncultured bacterium. RNAcentral describes it as "bacterial SSU rRNA". It matches the Rfam family "Bacterial small subunit ribosomal RNA", at positions 355 to 751 of the family's 1533-position model. The record is from RNAcentral.
UAAGGAAUAUUGGACAAUGGUCGGAAGACUGAUCCAGCCAUGCCGCGUGAAGGAAGAAGGCGCUCAGCGUUGUAAACUUCUUUUGGACGGGAACAAAACCACCUACUUGUAGGUGUCUGAGGGUACCGUCAGAAUAAGCACCGGCUAACUCCGUGCCAGCAGCCGCGGUAAUACGGAGGGUGCAAGCGUUAUCCGGAAUCACUGGGUUUAAAGGGUGCGUAGGCGGCCCGAUAAGUCAGUCGUGAAAUCGCUGGGCUUAACCCAUGCAACUGCGAUUGAUACUGUCGGGCUUGAAUCAGGUUGAGGCAGGCGGAAUGUGACAUGUAGCGGUGAAAUGCAUAGAUAUGUCAUAGAACACCGAUUGCGAAGGCAGCUUGCUGGACCUUGAUUGACGCUGAGG